GAUGAACGCUGGCGACGUGGAUAAGGCAUGCAAGUCAAACGGCUCUUCGGAGCAGUGGCGAACGAGGUAGUAACACGUGGGUAUGAACCCGGAAGUCAGGAAUAACUAUUCGAAAGAAUAGCUAAUACUUGAUAGUCUCUACGGAGUAAAGAUUUAUCGCUUCCGGCUCAACCUGCGGGAUAUCAGCUUGUUGGUAAGGUAAUGGCUUACCAAGGCUAUGACGUCUAGGGGAGGUGAGAGCCUGACCCCCACCGAUGGUACUGAGACACGGACCAUACACCUACGGGUGGCCGCAGUCGAGAAUCUUCCGCAAUGGACGAAAGUCUGACGGAGCGACGUCGCGUGAUCGAUGAAGUCCUUCGGGAUGUAAAGGUCUUUUCUAAAGGAGGAAGUAUAUUGACGUUACUUUAGGAAUAAGGGGUUGCUAAACUCG
This 433-nucleotide ribosomal RNA is filed under the name uncultured bacterium. RNAcentral describes it as "bacterial SSU rRNA". It matches the Rfam family "Bacterial small subunit ribosomal RNA", at positions 28 to 505 of the family's 1533-position model. The record is from RNAcentral.